GUACAAUCGCUAUGGUGGGAUUAUUUGGCGGAUCAUUAGAAGUCUCCUUGCCAUUGUUUGCAUUUCUUCAUCAACAAAUCCAGGGAGUAUUUGUCGGUUCUCUGGAGCAAUUAAAAGAACUUGUACAUCUAGCUUCAAAUACCAAGCUGAAGCCACCUGAGAUAACUCAUGUCAAGCUCGAAAAGGUGCCAGAGAUACUCACAAAGCUGCGCAGAGGAAAGAUCACCGGGAGAACCAUAGUGAAGUUUUAAUAUGGAGCGGAGUUCAAUUUAAGGGACUAAUGAAUUCAUUUUUUCACGUCCCUUCAAAUGAUUAAUUUUAUUUCGAAUAGUAGUUAUAAAAGUUUUCGUAGGGCCCAGCAAAAUCAAUAUUAACGAACUUGUUUUGAAAUUGAUGAUACAAACCAGUGAUUUUUUGUGUUGUUCAAUUGUUAAGAUGUCAACAUAUUAAUGUGUUUAAUGCACGGUAAGAAUGUGGCUUGAUUUGUAAUCUAAAAUUCAUCGCCAUUAUAUAAAUAAAUGGUCAGAUAUGGUGUU
This is a non-coding RNA of Styela clava, 536 nucleotides long. The record is from RefSeq and is a predicted model, not a curated record. Lineage: Eukaryota; Metazoa; Chordata; Ascidiacea; Stolidobranchia; Styelidae.